UUUUUUUUAAAAGUGUGCAGAGUUUUAACGUCCAUCCAUUGAUGAGGCUAGCAAGACCUUCAAACAACUUCAGCCAAUUGCAACAAAUGUGGUGGAAUUUCUUCUCUGGACAGAAUCCUCGAAACCCUUUCCUUUCGUCCUGGCCAUGGGAAACAUGCAGCAGACCUCUCAAUCUUUUUUCUCAAUCAGUCUCUCUGAAUACGGAAGUGACUUAAACUGCAAUUCGGCCAAGAUGGCGACGGCACGCACCGCCUACUUUAAGCUUCAAAAAUGCUCUUCACAAACCAAUGGGUGACGUCACAGACACUACUUGCAUAUUUUUUACAGUCUCUGGUUUAAAGGCAUUUUAAGUGCUUAAAAAAAUAAAUACCCCAGGCAAUGUGCUUCUAUGGGAAUUCCUGUAGUCUGUCAUUUUUCAAAUGGAUGAAUCCCCUGCUGUUCGAUUCCUUUGUACAUCUUUGUUCGCGACGAGUAACUUUAAUAAAUGAAGUAUUUUUAGUCAAAUACAUUCCAUUCUGUGAAACUUAAAACAUUUGUUCUUUAAAAAAACUUUACA
Non-coding RNA from Misgurnus anguillicaudatus (oriental weatherfish), 556 nucleotides. The record is from RefSeq and is a predicted model, not a curated record. NCBI's taxonomy places the organism in Eukaryota, Metazoa, Chordata, Actinopteri, Cypriniformes, Cobitidae.